GACGUAGGGCGCGAGCGUUGUCCGGAUUUAUUGGGCGUAAAGAGCUCGUAGGCGGCUCGUCGCGUCGGCUGUGAAAACCCGCAGCUUAACUGUGGGCUUGCAGCCGAUACGGGCGGGCUAGAGUUCGGUAGGGGAGACUGGAAUUCCUGGUGUAGCGGUGAAAUGCGCAGAUAUCAGGAGGAACACCGGUGGCGAAGGCGGGUCUCUGGGCCGAUACUGACGCUGAGGAGCGAAAGCGUGGGGAGCGAACAGGAUUAGAAACCCCCGUAGUCC
This 273-nucleotide ribosomal RNA is filed under the name uncultured bacterium. RNAcentral describes it as "partial 16S ribosomal RNA". It matches the Rfam family "Bacterial small subunit ribosomal RNA", at positions 524 to 796 of the family's 1533-position model. The record is from RNAcentral.